UACAGAGGUCUCAAGCGCUGUUCGGAUUCAUUGGGCGUAAAGGGUGCGUAGGCGGCGCGGUAAGUCGGGUGUGAAAUCUCGGAGCUUAACUCCGAAACUGCAUUCGAUACUGCCGUGCUUGAGGACUGGAGAGGAGACUGGAAUUUACGGUGUAGCGGUGAAAUGCGUAGAUAUCGUAAGGAAGACCAGUGGCGAAGGCGGGUCUCUGGACAGUUCCUGACGCUGAGGCACGAAGGUCAGGGGAGCAAACGGG
This 253-nucleotide ribosomal RNA is filed under the name uncultured bacterium. RNAcentral's name for it is "partial 16S ribosomal RNA". It matches the Rfam family "Bacterial small subunit ribosomal RNA", at positions 524 to 776 of the family's 1533-position model. The record is from RNAcentral.